Clupea harengus (Atlantic herring) is the source of this 849-nucleotide long non-coding RNA. Lineage: Eukaryota; Metazoa; Chordata; Actinopteri; Clupeiformes; Clupeidae. The record is from Ensembl.
GUGUGUGUGUGUGUGUGUGAGGUGUAGAUGUGUGUGUGUUGUGUGUAGAUGUGUGUGUGUGAGGUGUAAAUGCUUGUGUCACGUGAAGAUGUGUGUGUGAGUUGUGUGUCAAGUGUAGAUGUGUGUGUGUGUGAGUGUGUGUGUGUGUGUGUGUGUGUGUGUGUGUGUGUUGUGUAGAUGUGUGUGUGUGUUGCAUGUAGAUGUGUGUGUGAGGUGUAGAUGUGUGUGUUGUGUGAAGUGUAGAUGUGUGUGUGAGGUGUAGAUGUGUGUGUUGUGUAGAUGUGUGUGUGUGUUGCAUGUAGAUGUGUGUGUGAAGUGUAGAUGUGUGUGUUGUGUGAAGUGUAGAUGUGUGUGUGAGGUGUAGAUGUGUGUGUGUGUGUGUUCAGGUGUAGAUGUGUGUGUGAAGUGUAUAUGUGUGUGAAGUGUAGAUGUGUGUGUGAGGUGUAGAUGUGUGUUGUGUGAGGUGUAAAUGUGUGUGUGAGGUGUGUUUGUGUCAGGUGUAGAUGUGUGUGUGAGGUGUAGAUGUGUGUGUGAAGUGUAAAUGUGUGUGAAGUGUAGAUGUGUGUGUGAGGUGUAUAUUACAUUACAGUGAGCAUUACAGCUGUCAUUCUAUCUUGGGUACAAAGUAUUUAGAGAGAUUGUGAAGUGUAGGUGGCUGGGUGGGGUGGUUAUGGAUGUGUGUGACAGAGUGUAUUUGAGAUAAGUAAGUUAAGUAGUUUUUUAGUUUGUUCUGGAGUCCAGCGUAAUUAAUGUAAUGUUUGAAAGAGUCAAGUAGCCUACAGAAUAUAAUGUUGUGCAAGUUCAUGGUAUGAUGUUGUUGGUAGGGUCCAUCUUACUGGUUGUGGUGCU